AUGUGGAGACGUCGGCAUGAGCCCUGGGAGGAGUUAUCUUUUCUUCUUAACAGCUUAUCACCCUGGAAUUGGUUUAUCCGGAGAUAGGGUCUUAUGGCUGGAAGAGGCGAGUUAUAUUGCUUGCUCCGGUGCGCUUGUGACGGCCCG
Maudiozyma saulgeensis is the source of this 147-nucleotide non-coding RNA. NCBI's taxonomy places the organism in Eukaryota, Fungi, Ascomycota, Saccharomycetes, Saccharomycetales, Saccharomycetaceae. The record is from the annotation of a GenBank genome assembly.